This 1165-nucleotide long non-coding RNA is filed under the name Homo sapiens (human). Its description in RNAcentral is "non-protein coding lnc-PPIL2-8:2". Lineage: Eukaryota; Metazoa; Chordata; Mammalia; Primates; Hominidae. The record is from RNAcentral.
ACUGCGACGGCGUUGACUGAGGGGGCGCCACUAGGCGCGGUCACGUGCAUUCGCGGUGCAUUCGCGGGGGCGUCGGUGCGGGUCGCGUCUCUUAAGACACCCAGGGAGACAGACGUGGGGCAGAACUCAUGGGCUGAAGUGAGAGAUGGCUGGGGCCCAGGCGAGCGACCGAGCAGGGUCCGAACAGAGCCAGCGAGGGACCCCGGGCUGUGCUUGAGGCCCGACGACGCGCCAUAUCCCGGCAGCGCCGCAGCUCAGGCCUCUGCGAAUCUGUGGUCCACACGCUGAUAAACUUAGAGGCCUCUGCACUGGGGCAGAAACCGAAAGGCAUGACCCAGACCGAGAAAGAUAUUUGCAUACUGAGAAAGUGUGAAACACAAUUGUCGAGACUAAAAGGAGACACUGAGAGGAUACGCCAAUCAGAGACCGGAUUCCACCAUGUUGCCCAGGCUGACCUCAAACUCCUGGUCUCAAGUGAUCCACUUGCCUUGCCUUGGCCUCCCAAAGUGCUGGGAUUAAGUUCUGAGUCUUAACACAUGUAUAGAGUUAGUAACUAUCCCUACAAUAAAGCUAUACAAGACUUCAUCACCAUCCUCCACCCAAAAAACUCCCUUGUGUUGUCCCUUUAUAGUCAUAUUCUCCCCUACCCUGAAACCCUAGCAACCAACCCAUUGGUCUGUUUGCUAUCACUAUAGUUUUGUAUUUUCAAGAAUGUAAUAUAUAUAUAUGGAAUUAUAAAGUGUCUUAGUUUGGGCUGCUGUCACAAAAUACUAUACGCUGGUGGCUGAGACAGCAAGCAUUGAUUUCUCAUGGUUCUGGAGGCUGGGAAGUACAAGAUCAAGGCACUGGAUGACCUGGUAUCUCUUAAGAGCCCACUUCCUGGCUUGCAGACAGCUGCCGUUUCACAUAUACUCACAUGGUCAAGAGACAGCUGAUCUCUCUUGUGUCUCCUCUUUAAGAGCACGACUCCUUUUCUUUUUUUCUUUCUUUUUUCUCUUUCUUUUUUCUUUUUUUUCUUUCUUUUUUCUUUUUUUGAGACAGAGUCUCACUCUGUCACCCAGGCUGGAGUACAGUGGCAUGAUCUCGGCUCUGCAACCUCCACCUCCCAGGUUCAAGCAGUUCCCUUGCCUCAGCCUCCCGAGUAGCUGGGACUACAGGUGUGUGC